AUGACCAUCCUUAAGUGGUUUAAAGAAGUGAAGUUUUCUGAUGGGUUUGCUGCUAAUUUGAGUAAAACUGUCAACUUGAGUAAAAACAAAUUCAUUGGGCUGAAAAGCCAUGACCACCACAUCAUCAUGGAGCGCCUCCUGCCAGUUGCCCUACGAGGCUUCAUCCCAGAACCUGAAUGGAAGGUCAUAGCAGAGUUAAGUUUUUUUUAUCGGCAAUUGUGUGCCAAAGAAAUUGCUCCAAAACGGAUGCCUGAACUUGAGGAGGAGGUUCCUGUUCUAUUAUGCAAGCUUGAGAAAAUGUUCCCACCAGGCUUCUUCAAUGUAAUGCAACACCUGAUAGUGCAUCUUCCAUAUGAGGCAAGGGUUGGCGGCCCUGUGGCAUAUCGUUGGAUGUAUGUUUUUGAGAGGGCAAUGCACUAUCUUCGUUUAAAAGUGUGA
Molecule: ribosomal RNA, 438 nt
Filed under: Triticum aestivum (bread wheat)
Lineage: Eukaryota; Viridiplantae; Streptophyta; Magnoliopsida; Poales; Poaceae
Description: partial small subunit ribosomal RNA
Source: RNAcentral